UGGGUAAUCUGCCCUCGAUUCUGGGAUAGCCCGGGGAAACCCGGAUUAAUACCGGAUAGCCUCUCGAGCUUUCGGGCUCGUGAGAAAAGGUAGCUUCGGCCUCCGAUCGAGGAUGAGCCCGCGGCGGAUUAGCUUGUUGGUGAGGUAACGGCUCACCAAGGCGACGAUCCGUAGCUGGUCUGAGAGGACGAUCAGCCACACUGGGACUGAGACACGGCCCAGACCUCCGUACGGGAGCAG
Molecule: ribosomal RNA, 240 nt
Filed under: uncultured bacterium
Lineage: Bacteria
Description: partial 16S ribosomal RNA
Rfam family: Bacterial small subunit ribosomal RNA
Source: RNAcentral